AUGACUUAAACCUCUUCUUCCUCUUUUCCAAACAGAGUGAAGUUGUUAUGUUUAAUUAUUCAUUUUAUUUCUUAUCUAUUUCUCUUCUCCAUCUUAAUUAAUCAUAUUGUAUGCAUAUUAUUUCAAUCAUGAGAACAUAUUUCUGAGCAACCAGUUUCAGAGUUUGUGGAGAUAGAUUAAUAGAACAAGUGCUUCCUCUUGGAUAAUGAAAAGCUACCAAGUGAAUACUUUAAAGAAAAUGUCAUGCAGCUGAUCAGAGCAUUAUCAUAUGGCACCCUUCUACCUGUCAUGGACAACUAUAACAGUUCCAGGGCUAGGACCCAAACCUGCUAAGACUUUUUAAAUGUGAAGAAAGCAUCUCUUCCCUUCCCACUUCUUUUGGUAUGUAAAUCCUUGGGCUUUGCAAAGAGAAACCGAGUAUUCGGUAUAUUAUCUGCUUAUGAAAAAUGUGAACUAUAACCUGAACUACUAACAUAAAGAAACUUGGCAAUUUUUAAAAAAUUUACAUAGCCACAAGUAAUAUUAAUUGACAUUUAU
Molecule: long non-coding RNA, 537 nt
Organism: Monodelphis domestica (gray short-tailed opossum)
Lineage: Eukaryota; Metazoa; Chordata; Mammalia; Didelphimorphia; Didelphidae
Source: RefSeq, a predicted model, not a curated record